RNAcentral lists this ribosomal RNA (253 nucleotides) under uncultured bacterium. RNAcentral describes it as "partial 16S ribosomal RNA". It matches the Rfam family "Bacterial small subunit ribosomal RNA", at positions 524 to 776 of the family's 1533-position model. The record is from RNAcentral.
GACAGAGGGUGCAAACGUUGUUCGGAAUUACUGGGCGUAAAGCGCGUGUAGGCGGCUUCGCAAGUCGGAUGUGAAAUCCCACGGCUCAACCGUGGAAGUGCAUUCGAAACUGCUUCGCUUGAAUCUCGGAGGGGGUCAGAGAAUUCCCGGUGUAGAGGUGAAAUUCGUAGAUAUGGGGAGGAACACCGGUGGCGAAGGCGGCCACCUGGACGGUCACUGACGCUGAGACGCGAAAGCGUGGGUAGCAAACAGG